GAUGAAUGCUGGCGGCGUGCUUAACACAUGCAAGUCGAACGAAGAUAUUUAGAAUGAGAGCUUCGGCAGGAUUUUUAUCUAUCUUAGUGGCGGACGGGUGAGUAACGUGUGGGCAACCUGCCCUGUACUGUGGAAUAAUCAUUGGAAACGAUGACUAAUACCGCAUGUGGUCCUCGGAAGGCAUCUUCUGAGGAAGAAAGGAUUUAUUCGGUACAGGAUGGGCCCGCAUCUGAUUAGCUAGUUGGUGAGAUAACAGCCCACCAAGGCGACGAUCAGUAGCCGACCUGAGAGGGUGAUCGGCCACAUUGGGACUGAGACACGGCCCAAACUCCUACGGGAGGCAGCAGUGGGGAAUAUUGCACAAUGGGCGAAAGCCUGAUGCAGCAACGCCGCGUGAAGGAUGAAGGGUUUCGGCUCGUAAACUUCUAUCAAUAGGGAAGAAACAAAUGACGGUACCUAAAUAAGAAGCCCCGGCUAACUACGUGCCAGCAGCCGCGGUAAUACGUAGGGGCAAGCGUUAUCCGGAAUUACUGGGUGUAAAGGGAGCGUAGGCGGCAUGGUAAGCCAGAUGUGAAAGCCUUGGGCUUAACCCGAGGAUUGCAUUUGGAACUAUCAAGCUAGAGUACAGGAGAGGAAAGCGGAAUUCCUAGUGUAGCGGUGAAAUGCGUAGAUAUUAGGAAGAACACCAGUGGCGAAGGCGGCUUUCUGGACUGAAACUGACGCUGAGGCUCGAAAGCGUGGGGAGCAAACAGGAUUAGAUACCCUGGUAGUCCACGCCGUAAACGAUGAGUGCUAGGUGUCGGGGAGGAAUCCUCGGUGCCGCAGCUAACGCAAUAAGCACUCCACCUGGGGAGUACGACCGCAAGGUUGAAACUCAAAGGAAUUGACGGGGGCCCGCACAAGCGGUGGAGCAUGUGGUUUAAUUCGAAGCAACGCGAAGAACCUUACCAAGGCUUGACAUCCCGAUGACCGCUCUAGAGAUAGAGCUUCUCUUCGGAGCAUCGGUGACAGGUGGUGCAUGGUUGUCGUCAGCUCGUGUCGUGAGAUGUUGGGUUAAGUCCCGCAACGAGCGCAACCCUUAUCUUCAGUAGCCAUCAUUCAGUUGGGCACUCUGGAGAGACUGCCGUGGAUAACACGGAGGAAGGUGGGGAUGACGUCAAAUCAUCAUGCCCCUUAUGUCUUGGGCUACACACGUGCUACAAUGGCUGGUAACAAAGUGACGCAAGACGGCGACGUUAAGCAAAUCACAAAAACCCAGUCCCAGUUCGGAUUGUAGUCUGCAACUCGACUACAUGAAGCUGGAAUCGCUAGUAAUCGCGAAUCAGCAUGUCGCGGUGAAUACGUUCCCGGGCCUUGUACACACCGCCCGUCACACCAUGGGAGUUGGAAGCACCCGAAGUCGGAAACCUAACCGUAAGGAAGGAGCCGCCGAAGGUGAAGCCAG
This 1444-nucleotide ribosomal RNA is filed under the name uncultured organism. RNAcentral describes it as "SSU rRNA". It matches the Rfam family "Bacterial small subunit ribosomal RNA". The record is from RNAcentral.